This 443-nucleotide ribosomal RNA is filed under the name uncultured bacterium. RNAcentral's name for it is "partial 16S ribosomal RNA". It matches the Rfam family "Bacterial small subunit ribosomal RNA", at positions 338 to 795 of the family's 1533-position model. The record is from RNAcentral.
CCUACGGGAGGCAGCAGUGGGGAAUAUUGGGCAAUGGGCGCAAGCCUGACCCAGCAACGCCGCGUGAAGGAAGAAGGCUUUCGGGUUGUAAACUUCUUUUCUCAGGGACGAAGAAAGUGACUGUACCUGAGGAAUAAGCCACGUCUAACUACGUGCCAGCCGCCGCGGAAAUGCGGAGGGGGCAAGCUGUACCCGGUUUUAUUGGGUGUAAAGGGCGUGUAGGCGGGAGUGCAAGUCAGAAGUGAAAACGCAGGGCUCAACCCUGGGCCUGUAUUGGAAACUGUGUUUCUAGAGUGCUGGAGAGGUAAUCGGAAUUCCGUGUGUAGCGGUGAAAUGCGUAGAUAUUCGGAGGAACACCAGUGGCGAAGGCGGAUUGCUGGACAGUAACUGACGCUGAGGCGCGAAAGCGUGGGGAGCAAACAGGAUUAGAUACCCCUGUAGUC